UACGUAGGUGGCAAGCGUUAUCCGGAUUUACUGGGUGUAAAGGGCGUGUAGGCGGGAGUGCAAGUCAGAUGUGAAAACCACGGGCUCAACCUGUGGCCUGCAUUUGAAACUGUACUUCUUGAGUACUGGAGAGGCAGACGGAAUUCCUAGUGUAGCGGUGAAAUGCGUAGAUAUUAGGAGGAGCACCAGUGGCGAAGGCGGUCUGCUGGACAGCAACUGACGCUGAGGCGCGAAAGCGUGGGGAGCAAACAGG
This 253-nucleotide ribosomal RNA is filed under the name uncultured bacterium. RNAcentral describes it as "partial 16S ribosomal RNA". It matches the Rfam family "Bacterial small subunit ribosomal RNA", at positions 524 to 776 of the family's 1533-position model. The record is from RNAcentral.